This 460-nucleotide ribosomal RNA is filed under the name uncultured bacterium. RNAcentral's name for it is "partial 16S ribosomal RNA". It matches the Rfam family "Bacterial small subunit ribosomal RNA", at positions 338 to 795 of the family's 1533-position model. The record is from RNAcentral.
CCUACGGGGGGCAGCAGUGAGGAAUAUUGGUCAAUGGGCGAGAGCCUGAACCAGCCAAGUCGCGUGAAGGAUGACGGCCCUACGGGUUGUAAACUUCUUUUGUCAGGGAGCAAUUCACUCCACGUGUGGGCUUUGCGAGAGUCCCUGAAGAAAAAGCAUCGGCUAACCCCGUACCAGCAGCCGCGGUAAUACGGAGGAUGCGAGCUUUAUCGGGUUUUAUUGGGUUAAAGGGGUGCGUAGGCGGAAUAUCAAGUCAGCGGUAAAAAUUCGGGGCUCAACCCCGUCGUGCCGUUGAAACUGAUGUUCUUGAGUGGGCGAGAAGUAUGCGGAAUGCGUGGUGUAGCGGUGAAAUGCAUAGAUAUCACGCAGAACUCCGAUUGCGAAGGCAGCAUACCGGCGCCCAACUGACGCUGAAGCACGAAAGCGUGGGUAUCGAACAGGAUUAGAUACCCCAGUAGUC